UGGGAGGGAGGGCGGUUCGUACAAAUGUCUUUUUUUUUUUUUCGUCUUACAACAGAUGAAAUUCAGAACAGUUUCAAUCUUCACCUUAAAAUAAGCGCUGAACUUCUAAUAUCUAUAAUACUUGUAAUUAUGUGUCCUUGAAGUAACACAGAAAUGCACGCGCACACACACACACACACACACACACAUCAACAUACAGUGAUGUAUGAGGGUGGGUUGGGGGUAUAGUCAGUGCUUGGGUUUUGAAUCAAAAAUGGUCUGACGAAUAGACAAGAAUUGGCAAUAUUUCUGUAUUUUGCAUCUGCAUCUUAAUAGUUGGACAUUAUUGUUAUUAUGAUUGUGAUUUUAUGAACAUUUUUUGUUUGCAGAGAAGGUUUUUUUGUAAUCAUGAAACCUUCUACAGAGGCAUAAAGCUGUAGUCAGUUGGCAGGCAGGUGGUAGUGCUGGGUGAGGGAGGAGGACGAGGAAGUGGAGGCCGAUUGGUCUGUUCAUGUUCCAGUUUUAGUAUGUGUGCCACUGAUGCAAGCAUGGCCUGUUUUUUAUGUAGAUGGCAAAGAUGCUUGGUGUGGCAGCAAGGGGUUUUCGUCUUUCUCUCUCUCUCGCUCUGUUUGUUUUUUUUGCUUUCCAUUUUGUAGUUCCAGCUACUGUUCCUUCUCCCAACACCCAUGUUGCCCCUCUGCCUCCCUCUUCCAUACGAAACGGCCAAGAUCCCUAAAGCUCCUCCCGUCGUCCCCAGAGAAAGGCUGCCGCUGCUGCUGCUGCUGCUGCUGCUUCAGAGCCCUCAAACCCCAGCUCCAGGGUUGCGUGUUGCCACGGCGCCCUCAAACCCCAACUCCAGGGUUGUGUGUUGCCAUGGCGCCCUAGUGUAUGAACAGUGACUUGGCAGAGAGACGUGUCCAUGAGGACGUGGCCUCAAUUGGACUGGAGCCUGAGAAUGACUUUUGACACGGCUUUUGACCUGACCGACCACUUAGCAUCAAGGCUUUUACCUGCUCAUGCCUAAACUGUGUCCCCCUGAUGCUCUGGCUUGCCUUCGAGCUCAAUCCUCGUCAUCUGCCUGCCUGCCUUCUUCUGAUUGGAUGGCCUUGAGCUUGGCUGAGUCAGAACUUCCGAGGUCUUAUUGCUGGCUGGCUGUCAUUCGCCCUCUGCACUCUUUUACCUUUCUCUGUGUUGAAUGUAAGGAAAUAUUUGAAGUGUCGUCCCCCCCCACCCCCCACCCGCCCACACACAUAUAUACUCCUUAUGCUCCUUUUUAACCAUGGGCUGGUACAUCAUUUCACACUCUAGGAUGGUGCAGCAUGCUUCAGAGGUGUCUUGGUUGGGCAAGCCCUCUGUUGAAGGCCAUGCCUUUUUGCAACGUUCCUUUAAGUCUCUUGGGUCAUACGGACAUUAUGAUUAGUAAGGCUGGACUUGUUAGACUGGAGUGCGUGUGUUUGUUUGGUGCGAUGUACUGUACUGUUUGUCAGGGGCUGGGACUGACUGGUCUAAGUAAUGCGAGACCGGAUAUGACCUCCCAGAGUUUCUUCAUGUUGCCCAGGCGGUCACAGCUCAUUAAGUCAGGUAGUCCUCCCUUCUCAUCCCCCUCCACACACACACACACACACACACACAAUCACACACACACCCACACACACGCACACACACCCUCAACCAGUCAACCAACAGUCCUGACUAGAAGUCUCCCUCGUUCUCUCCCCUCACAUCCAACAGUAUCUGAGCCUGGGCCUUCUGCCGCCUCUGAGAAAGGGGUCUGGAAGAGUUUUCAGAAGAGAGAUAAGAGUCUUUUUGCCUGCCAGAUGGGCGUAUGAAAAAACGCUGCCUUUGUAGCUCUGCAACUCAUGAGAGUUGGCGUUAUUUUUCACUUUGAGCCUCUUCCCUUUUUGCGCUCAAGAGUUGUCAGAGCUUCUAGAAUGCACCACAGAUCACUUUGAAAGUCCCUGAUUUGAAAACAACAAAAACAGCGCCUCCAUAUACCAGGAGUUUUCAAGUGCGAAACGGAUCCGUUCACUGGCGGGUUUUAAACCUAAUAUUCUUCAAUAAUGAUUAUAAGAUUGCGCCCCCCCAUCUCUCAGCAGACCAUGGCCAUGUUCUUCUGGAGUAGAGGAGGUUGGUGUGUGCUGUAUGUGCCUCAGUGUACAGAACCCAGCCAUAGAACACGUGAAGUAUCACUGUAACUGGCGUCUGGACGUCGACUCUUGCGCCAAUAUGUGUAAGUGUAGCCUGUUGUGGUUCAUGUAUUAACCUGCUAACCUCGGUUUAGAGUAGAUCUUCACUUCUAACACUACCAUGAAUUCACAAGUCACCCAUUGAUCAUGCUUUUUUUUUUCUUUUUUUUGUCGGUUAAGCUCCAGAUGAUUCAUUAUUUGCUCCCCUCGGAAGAAUGACUCUUGCAGUAAUCCCCACUGUGUUUAUGUGGAGGGAACAGUGGUGGGGUGGGGAGAGGGUGGAACCAGGGUUAGACAUUGUGUAUGACAUUCCUGCUCUUUAAGAAAAUGAAAAUAAAACAAACAACCAAAAACAAAUGACCUCUACCAGUUAAUCUUGAUCUCACUGGAGCUUCUGAGAUGGAGAGAUAAAAAAAAGAAAACAUUGUCUUGCCCUUUUUUAUUUGUUUUAUCCUGCACUCACUGUAAAGAGCCACAAACGGCAACCUUUCAAAGACAGGCCCCCAAAACUGUAGCUGCAGUCUGGAUGCCUUGUGGCCACGUUGAAGAUUUUAGUUUUAGUUUUGUUUUGUUUGUCACAGAAAGGGGUUUUGCUUUCUUUUUAUAAAUCUAUAAAUUGAAAUAUACUGUGGUAAUAACUGUGUCUGGUCCAUAGAAGAGAAACAGGGUUGUAGAACUUGUAGGCUUCGAGAGUUGAAGGAACGGAAGGGGUUGGGG
This is a long non-coding RNA of Clupea harengus (Atlantic herring), 2882 nucleotides long. Lineage: Eukaryota; Metazoa; Chordata; Actinopteri; Clupeiformes; Clupeidae. The record is from Ensembl.